Peromyscus maniculatus bairdii (prairie deer mouse) is the source of this 2157-nucleotide long non-coding RNA. RefSeq lists it as uncharacterized. Lineage: Eukaryota; Metazoa; Chordata; Mammalia; Rodentia; Cricetidae. The record is from RefSeq and is a predicted model, not a curated record.
UAAAAUCCUAGCACUACUAAGGCAGAGACAGGAAGAUCUCUUUUGAGUUUGAGGCUAGCCUGGUCUACAUUGUGAGUUCCAGAAUAGUCAGGGCUAGAGAGACUAUCUCAAAGACAAACCCUGUCUGUGUGGCUAUGUUUACAGGAGUCCAGAUGCCUGAAGAGGUCAGAGGCAACAAGGCCCCUCAAGCUAGAGUUGCAGACAGUUGUGAAUCACCUGACAUCAGCGUUGGGAACUGAAUUUGGAUCCUCUACAAGAUCAAUACUGUCAGGGAAGAAGGGGAUUCCAAACACUGCCAAAGCUACUGUCAACAGCCAGGACACUGAGAACUUCUCAAUGGCCAGGUCUCUUCUGGAGUCUCCCUCAGAGGGGCUGUCCAGACCACUCCGAGGUUCCGAAGAGCACACCAGCACUACAGCUUUUCCUCUGCGUACUUCUAAACAGCACGUCUACCCAUUAUUUGUAAGUGUUCUCCCCACCAAGAACUUAGUAUCUCCAAUGGCAGGGCGUCCAAACUUUUCUCCGUGCCUUUUCCCGACAAUUGUGUCUAGCACCAAGUAUGGAACUCGGGUGUAUUUAUGUACCUCAGCGUGCCCUUACCCUACUGAAGCCCGAGAGUUUCAUCUCUAACGCCUGCCUUUGAAUACACUAUGCCCACCUUCAGUAGUGGAGGUAAGCAUUUUCUCUGGGUUGAUAGCACCAUCAGCCAUCACAUCUGAGCCGUGGAAAUGCUGACCUAAACCUCUGGCUGUUUGAUUAUGUUCCAAAAACACCAAGUCCACGGGUGGAAUCUGUUAAUUGGGGCUCUUCACAACAGUAAAGUACUGCUUCAGUGCCAGUGUUUUCCUUAGCUGAAGCAGUAGUUUUGUUCUAAGCAAGUGAUUAUCUGUGGUUUCUUUUCAAUGACUGGUAAGUUAUUAAAUCAUUCAUGUGUCAUGUAUUUGUUUAGUUUCCAAUUCAGCUCAAAGUAACAUCUGCCCAAAGGGGUACCAAUUAUACUGUACUGAUAAUCACACCUAUAAUCUUACAUUGCCUUAGUCUUUUUAGUAGUUGGGUCUGUAAGGCCUCACCGGAGCGCAUCCCUGCCACACUUUUUAGUGAACUCUGUUGGAAUAGGCAUAGAUACAAAAAUAACAUGGUUUCCCUAACAAAUUCUGUCCAUAAUAGCUUUAUGUACAGGGCAGUAUGCUGCCGACAUAGGAUAGCUACUAUUGGGAUGGUCAGAACUUUCCUGUCUGCUGCCCAGAGCCAGCCACCAGUAGACAGCUCCAGCCACGGCAUUGUCACACUGCAUCAUCUGUUUCCAAGAGAACUGAUCACCUGUAAUUUACAAGUCUCGUCAUUUAUUCCAGCUUGCAUCCACUCUGAAGGAGCAUCCCAUCUAUAUAACCCAGUGGACUAGAUGAGGGACUCUGUUCAGAUCUAGGUCAACUUCUUUUCUCCUCCAAGGAUACCAAGAGCAUUCCCUUUUAAGUCUCUUUUAAGUUAACACUAGUAUGUAAACAUCUGCUAUCAGAGAAACCCCACCUGUGACCUUGCUCGCAUUUGUUGACAAAACACAUAUUACAAUUUGGAGUUUGUUUUCAUUGAGACAACACCUUCUAUCGUUCAGGCUGAUUUACAGCUCCAUAAUAUAGCUUGGAACUCUUGAUUUUUCCGCCUCUGCCUCACAGUGCUGGAAUUUUAGGCUACCAAGCAAAAUUGAGGCCAGCCUGAGCUACAUAAGGCCCUGUCUGAGAGAAAGACAGAUGAGAGAUCUAAACUUCUCCAUUUACAAACCAGGCCUAAAUUUCAGUUUCUUAAACAAAGGACUAUUGGUCAACACCACCACAGACAGCAGGGAUGAGGAAGGGAGCACAUACAAGGCCUGAAUCCGCCCUACAGUAUCUCAAAGCAAUGACCAAAUAAGGACAGUUCCUGCAAACCUCUCAAAACAUGUCCAAAGAUAGUAAAACUAACCUCAGCCAAUCAAAAGUAUACUAGUGUAACUGUUGCCUGCUUGACCAGUCACACUCAAGGUGACCUAACUGUUCCUGGAAUAUCCCUAGCUGUGCUUGAAGGGAGCCUGUGUGCUCCUCUCGGAGUGCCAUUUUGUACAAAUGGUUGACUCUGCAUUCUGGUAAGUUCUGCAGAAUAAACACUCUUUGUUUUUACAUA